AGCAGUUUUGGUCCUAAACCUCCCAUUAUUUGUUAUUAAAAUUAUACAUGCAAGCCUCCACCCUCCAGUGAAAACGCCCUAAAAGGAGCAGGUAUCAGGCACAUGCAAUCCUUUGCAUAGCCAAAAACGCCUAGCCAAUCGAGCCACACCCCCACGGGACCCAGCAGUAAUAAACAUUAAGCAAUGAGCGCCCCCGCAGCUCGACUUAGUCAUAAUAAAUCUAGGGCCGGUUAAUUUCGUGCCAGCCACCGCGGUUAUACGAAAAGCCCAAAAUAAUGAACCCCGGCGUAAAGCGUGACUAGAGCAUAUUAGACCCCCAAAUGAGAUGGAAACCCUUUCUAAGUUAUAAAACACAACAAGAAAACAGGAAUUCCCCUUACAUCUCACCAAAGGCCCCCUCAACUUCACGAAAGCUAAGAAACAAACUAGGAUUAGAUACCCUACUAUGCUUAGCUGUGAACAUAGACACCCCACAAUACCAGAUGCCCGCCAGAGAAUUACUAGUGAAAAACUUAAAACUCAAAGGACUUGACGGUAUCUCACACCAACCUAGAGGAGCCUGUCCUAUAAUCGAUACCCCACGAAAAACCUCACCCCCUUUUGCAAAAUCAGCCUAUAUACCGCCGUCGUCAGCCUACCUUAUGAAAGACCUCAAGUAGGCACAAAAGUAUAACCCACAAAAACGUCAGGUCAAGGUGUAGUUAAUAAGGCGGGAAGAGAUGGGCUACAUUUCCUUAAAGGACCCACCACAUUAUACCCUGAAAAACUAUAAUUAAAGGUGGAUUUAGUAGUAAGACAAGUAAGAGAGCCUGUCUGAAACCUGCUCUGAGAUGCGUACACACCGCCCGUCACCCUCCUCAGCAACAAAAAUACACUAAAUAAACUGCUUCUACCGCAUAGAUGAGGUAAGUCGUAACAUGGUAAGCGUACUGGAAAGUGCGCUUGGCUCA
RNAcentral lists this non-coding RNA (950 nucleotides) under Pygopus nigriceps. RNAcentral's name for it is "12S ribosomal RNA". It matches the Rfam family "Bacterial small subunit ribosomal RNA". Lineage: Eukaryota; Metazoa; Chordata; Lepidosauria; Squamata; Pygopodidae. The record is from RNAcentral.